RNAcentral lists this long non-coding RNA (764 nucleotides) under Struthio camelus australis. RNAcentral's name for it is "lncRNA (ENSSCUG00000015001.1)". The record is from RNAcentral. Lineage: Eukaryota; Metazoa; Chordata; Aves; Struthioniformes; Struthionidae.
CAGGAGACAACUUUGGAUAUAUGUCUGGGCCUCAGGUGCCGUUCAAAAUGUAGCUUAGACAUGGCCUUGGAGCCAGGGCCUGUCUCACGAUAGUGAUAGCACUGAGCCUACACUAAGGUGCUAAGCUGGAUGGUAUCUUCCCUUAAAAGACUUCAAAAGAAGCAGAUUCCCCCAUAUCUGUGAGUAAGUUUGUUCCACUGAUCAGUCACCUCCUUGCUAGUUUGAAUGCACAUCUUUGCAAGUCCUUUACCCCUUUUCUUCACUGAGCCCUCUGCUAUUUCAAAGGGAUUGUCCUGCAAUGACAUCAUUGCUACCCCCACUGAGAAAAGCAGUUUUAAACCUCCCCAGGGGUUCCACAUGUGCUUAGAGUAUAAUGUAAUUAAUACAUCAUCUCAAUGCUUCAGCCCUUUCCAUAUUCUCUGUUAGCUCCAGUUGCCUCUGGCUGCCUUGAGACUCCUAAGAGAACAGGAGGAUGCAGACAAAUAAGAGUGUUUCUCACCCAGUUUGUUCACUCAAGCAAGCCAAGACCUUCCUAUGCAGUGUGCUCAACCCUUGUGAGACGGGCUUUGGCCAUUAUCAGCAUCCUUGUGCACUGGAGAGGAAGCAUGGAUAUUGGAAGUCACCCAGUGACUGACCCAUCUAGGACUGCUCCACUGCACAGACUGGCUUCAGCGGAUCUAGAGGAGCACUGGGGUGAAGACGUUCGUCAUCAAGCUAUCACGGCUCUGGGAUAUCUUCAUCACCGGUGCACAAGACAACUUUGA